RNAcentral lists this ribosomal RNA (460 nucleotides) under uncultured bacterium. Its description in RNAcentral is "partial 16S ribosomal RNA". It matches the Rfam family "Bacterial small subunit ribosomal RNA", at positions 338 to 795 of the family's 1533-position model. The record is from RNAcentral.
CCUACGGGUGGCAGCAGUGAGGAAUAUUGGACAAUGGGCGUAAGCCUGAACCAGCCAAGUCGCGUGAGGGAUGAAGGUUCUAUGGAUCGUAAACCUCUUUUAUAAGGGAAUAAAGUGUGGGACGUGUCCUGUUUUGUAUGUACCUUAUGAAUAAGGAUCGGCUAACUCCGUGCCAGCAGCCGCGGUAAUACGGAGGAUCCGAGCGUUAUCCGGAUUUAUUGGGUUUAAAGGGUGCGUAGGCGGCCUUUUAAGUCAGCGGUGAAAGUCUGUGGCUCAACCAUAGAAUUGCGGUGGAAACUGGGAGGCUUGAGUAUGGUUGAGGCAGGCGGAAUGCGUGGUGUAGCGGUGAAAUGCUUAGAUAUCACGCAGAACCCCGAUUGCGAAGGCAGCCUGCCAAGCCAUGACUGACGCUGAUGCACGAAAGCGUGGGGAUCAAACAGGAUUAGAUACCCGUGUAGUC